This 492-nucleotide ribosomal RNA is filed under the name uncultured bacterium. RNAcentral's name for it is "partial 16S ribosomal RNA". It matches the Rfam family "Bacterial small subunit ribosomal RNA", at positions 29 to 507 of the family's 1533-position model. The record is from RNAcentral.
AGUGAACGCUGGCGGUAGGCCUAACACAUGCAAGUCGAACGGCAGCACGGUAAGAGCUUGCUCUUACGGGUGGCGAGUGGCGGACGGGUGAGGAAUACAUCGGAAUCUACUUUUUCGUGGGGGAUCACGUAGGGAAACUUACGCUAAUACCGCAUACGCCCUACGGGUGAAAGCAGGGGAUCUUCGGACCUUGCGCGAUUGAAUGAGCCGAUGUCGGAUUAGCUAGUUGGCGGGGUAAAGGCCCACCAAGGCGACGAUCCGUAGCUGGUCUGAGAGGAUGAUCAGCCACACUGGAACUGAGACACGGUCCAGACUCCUACGGGAGGCAGCAGUGGGGAAUAUUGGACAAUGGGCGCAAGCCUGAUCCAGCCAUACCGCGUGGGUGAAGAAGGCCUUCGGGUUGUAAAGCCCUUUUGUUGGGAAAGAAAAGCAGCAGGUUAAUACCCCGCUGUUCUGACGGUACCCAAAGAAUAAGCACCGGCUAACUUCGUG